Long non-coding RNA from Chenopodium quinoa (quinoa), 1114 nucleotides. RefSeq lists it as uncharacterized. The transcript is spliced from 2 exons. The record is from RefSeq and is a predicted model, not a curated record. Lineage: Eukaryota; Viridiplantae; Streptophyta; Magnoliopsida; Caryophyllales; Amaranthaceae.
GGGAAAGCGAUUUUAUGCAAUUAUAGUUGAUUUUUUUUUUUAGUCCAGCUCGAAAAAGCUAGCACAACCCAGCUAGUUUGGGCACAUAAUUUUCAGCAGGGGCGGAUACAAGUUGGGUUCAAGUAGGUUCAUUGAACUCACUGAAUUUUUGAAAAAUUAAAAGUUUAUUAUUUUUUUACAAAAAAAAAAUAAAAAAGCGUUAAAUAGAAUAUCUUCACACCAAAUAGCAACAAGAUAAUGUGCAGCCUAGUGGUAAUUUUUGGAGCCCACGUCUUUCCUACCCUUACAAGGGAGUCAAGGGUUCGAAUCCUCCCACAACCCUUUUUUUUUAAUUUUUAUAUUUUAUAAAACAAAAUUGAGACUUCACUUGUUGCUUCAGUAAUUCCCCAAAAUUAUUUCCCCAAAAUUCGAAACCCUAAGUUCCUAACUCUCUCUAACUCUCUUGUAACUCAAUUGCUCCACCCAACCACCCCACUAGGCCACUAGCCACCGCGACAGGCCAUCACCACUCACGGCUGCUCGUUUGCUGACCGAUCCUCCACGGCUCUACCAUUUGCCCAACAACCUAGCGAGUAAGACGUAAGUUUGCAAAUGAGUUUAGAGUCUUUUGGAAACGUGUGGGGAAGUCACAAAAAUCCUCUGCUUGUUCUUCCCCUAGUUCAAGGGAUCUUGUAGAAUAAGAUAUUGAGUCUCCAAAUGAUGAUGCAAUUUAGUCACUUUUCUUGAGAGAGAUUUAUGCUAGAUUUAGUGAUGAUGACGUUUUACGCUUCCAAAGUAUAAAAUCUCGAAGAAUGAUUUUGUAAGUUUUUUUUUAAUUUUUUUUUUUUUACCAUUUUCUAAGUGUAAUCCGUUUGUAAUCCAAAAUUUGAACUUAAUGUAUUGAAUAUUUAAUUAAUGUAUUAGCAUUCCUUUUUUUUCAAAUUCUGAACCCAUUGUUCGGAAAUCCUGGAUACGCCACUGAUUUUCAGGCUCGACCCGAAAAGUUCGCUGAUUUAUUUGAAUUCGGGCUGGCCCACCCAAUGAUCACCUCUAAAAAGAAGGUUUAUGAUAAGAGGGAAAUAUCUGGUUGUAUACCACUAAGUUGAUAAAUUCUUAUGUCACUUUGUGUUGUGUA